GCAUUUCUCUUUCUUUCUGGGCAUGAGAAACAUCUGUUAAAUAUAUAGCUAUAGAUAUAUAAACACUCCAAACCUUACAGCAUUUCCCCUUGCCCCCAAGCCACAAAUGAUCAGUCUCCAUUGCUAUAGGACAUUGAACAUCAGCAACAGAGUUAGGGUGGCGUUCGGAGCUCCUGCCUGGAGAACAAAGCAGGCUGAUGAGAACUGCCUGCUAGAACCAGGAAGAGAGAAAGUCAAUGUCUUGUGGUUGCCCGCACUGCAUCUUUAGCAUUAGCUGCUUCAAGCUUUGCUCUACAGGAAACAGCAGGAAAAGUAUAUUUGGUUAGUAUCCCCUAAAUAGGGUGUGCUAGGAUUUCAUCCU
Molecule: non-coding RNA, 361 nt
Organism: Python bivittatus (Burmese python)
Lineage: Eukaryota; Metazoa; Chordata; Lepidosauria; Squamata; Pythonidae
Source: RefSeq, a predicted model, not a curated record